RNAcentral lists this ribosomal RNA (292 nucleotides) under uncultured bacterium. Its description in RNAcentral is "partial 16S ribosomal RNA". It matches the Rfam family "Bacterial small subunit ribosomal RNA", at positions 217 to 507 of the family's 1533-position model. The record is from RNAcentral.
GCCUUGGGAUAGGCUUGCGUCUGAUUAGUUAGUUGGUGUGGUAACGGCACACCAAGGCUACGAUCAGUAACUGGUCUGAGAGGAUGAUCAGUCACACUGGAACUGAGACACGGUCCAGACUCCUACGGGAGGCAGCAGUGAGGAAUAUUGGGCAAUGCUCGAAAGAGUGACCCAGCAACGCCGCGUGGAGGAUGAAGGUAUUCUAUAUCGUAAACUCCUGUGAGAGCAGACGAAAGACAGAUUAUUAAUCUGGAUGACUGUAUGCUCAGAGGAAGCCCCGGCUAACUACGUG